UACGUAGGGGGCUAGCGUUAUCCGGAAUUACUGGGCGUAAAGGGUGCGUAGGCGGUCUUUCAAGCCAGAAGUGAAAGGCUACGGCUCAACCGUAGUAAGCUUUUGGAACUGUAAGACUUGAGUGCAGGAGAGGAGAGUGGAAUUCCUAGUGUAGCGGUGAAAUGCGUAGAUAUUAGGAGGAACACCAGUAGCGAAGGCGGCUCUCUGGACUGUAACUGACGCUGAGGCACGAAAGCGUGGGGAGCAAACAGGAUUAGAUACCCGCGUAGUCCCU
RNAcentral lists this ribosomal RNA (274 nucleotides) under uncultured prokaryote. RNAcentral's name for it is "partial 16S ribosomal RNA". It matches the Rfam family "Bacterial small subunit ribosomal RNA", at positions 524 to 798 of the family's 1533-position model. The record is from RNAcentral.